RNAcentral lists this ribosomal RNA (383 nucleotides) under uncultured eukaryote. RNAcentral's name for it is "partial 18S ribosomal RNA". It matches the Rfam family "Eukaryotic small subunit ribosomal RNA", at positions 592 to 976 of the family's 1831-position model. The record is from RNAcentral.
CAAUAGCGUAUAUUAAAGUUGUUGCAGUUAAAAAGCUCGUAGUUGGAUUUCUGGUGGGAGCGAUCGGUCUGGCGCUUAGCGCGAGUACUUGCAUCGUCUCCGGCCAUCCUUGGGGAAAGUCUGUCUGGCGUUAAGUUGUCGGGCAGAGGAUCCUCAUCGUUUACUGUGAAAAAAUUAGAGUGUUCAAAGCAGGCUUAUGCCGUUGAAUAUAUUAGCAUGGAAUAAUAAGAUAGGACUUUGGUACUAUUUUGUUGGUUUGCGCACCAAAGUAAUGAUUAAUAGGGACAGUUGGGGGUAUUCGUAUUCCGUUGUCAGAGGUGAAAUUCUUGGAUUUACGGAAGACGAACUACUGCGAAAGCAUUUACCAAGGAUGUUUUCAUUAA